UUCCAUAGGAAACAUCCCAACACUCUAACUUCCUUGGCUAUUGUUUCAGGCUACUGUUACCUUCUUGCUUAUCAAGUUUCUCAUUUGCUUCUCAGGGAGAGCUAGGUGCCUGGAAUUUCCCUUGAAGGAACUCAAGAUUUUCCUUUAUUUCCAUCCCUGGGGGGUGCCCAGCAGGCCUAUAAGAGGAGUCCUCUCAAGAUGAGAACAGUGAAGCUCUGAGAGGUUAAGUGACUUGGCUGAGCUCAUGAAGCAGAUCCCAGCACAAAGUAGGGCUAGGAUGAAAAUGCCUGGAGGAA
This 296-nucleotide long non-coding RNA is filed under the name Homo sapiens (human). RNAcentral's name for it is "HSALNT0382481". The record is from RNAcentral. Lineage: Eukaryota; Metazoa; Chordata; Mammalia; Primates; Hominidae.